RNAcentral lists this transfer RNA (72 nucleotides) under Camelus bactrianus (Bactrian camel). It matches the Rfam family "tRNA". Rfam says of the family: Transfer RNA (tRNA) molecules are approximately 80 nucleotides in length. Their secondary structure includes four short double-helical elements and three loops (D, anti-codon, and T loops). The record is from Rfam by way of RNAcentral. Lineage: Eukaryota; Metazoa; Chordata; Mammalia; Artiodactyla; Camelidae. RNAcentral also lists the same sequence under 1 other name.
GUGGGUAGAGCUCAGUGGUAGAGUGCAUGCUUAGCAUGUGUGGAGUACUGGGUUCAAUUCCCAGUACCUCCA